Non-coding RNA from Parastrongyloides trichosuri, 73 nucleotides. Lineage: Eukaryota; Metazoa; Nematoda; Chromadorea; Rhabditida; Strongyloididae. The record is from Rfam.
CGAGGGUGAAAGACAUGGGUAGUGAGACGAUGAGUACUGAAUUCCGUAUCACUAUUCUGUUUUUCUCCUUCUU